Non-coding RNA from Rhinichthys klamathensis goyatoka, 626 nucleotides. The record is from the annotation of a RefSeq genome assembly. Lineage: Eukaryota; Metazoa; Chordata; Actinopteri; Cypriniformes; Leuciscidae.
UUUGUCAUUUCAUUCCAUCAUGCUUCUCUGUGCACUUGUAAUAUUUUCAGUACUAGCAGGAGACUCUCUUGGUGAUCUAAUAACAUCUCAUGGUCCUGAAAAAGCAGCUCAAGAUGGAAACAGUGUUACUCUCUCCUGUAACUACAGUGGUGCUGUUUACAAUCUACUGUGGUAUCGUCAGUAUCAGAGAUCCAAACCAGAACUCCUUCUCUCCAUCACUGAAUCUGGAGAUCCAGUUAAAGCAGAUCCAUCAGCCCACUGGUUUUCUGCUAAAGUUGACAAACAGAGAAAGCUCAUGGAACUGGAAAUCAGCCCUGCUAAAGUAACAGACUCUGCACAGUAUUAUUGUGCCCUGCAGCCCACAGUGACAGGAAACCCUUUUCCUCAGUACAUAAUCUUCCUGCAUAUUAGCCUUUUCAUUGAUGCUUAACAAGCACAUGUAUUCUGUGUGUCGUGUCUGUGACUGAAUCCGCUAUCAGUAACACAAGGAUCUAUUAAUAAUUCCACAAGAACAUAAUACAUAUUUCCAUAAAGAACACACACACAAGCUUAAUGUGGUAUACAAGAAGAGUUCAGAAGAGGCUUGAUACACUUACUGAUUUAUCAUUAAAUUCAAACUACAUACA